Small nuclear RNA from Octodon degus (degu), 187 nucleotides. Its record names the gene U2. It matches the Rfam family "U2 spliceosomal RNA". Rfam says of the family: U2 is a small nuclear RNA (snRNA) component of the spliceosome (involved in pre-mRNA splicing). Complementary binding between U2 snRNA (in an area lying towards the 5' end but 3' to hairpin I) and the branchpoint sequence (BPS) of the intron results the bulging out of an unpaired adenosine, on the BPS, which initiates a nucleophilic attack at the intronic 5' splice site, thus starting the first of two transesterification reactions that mediate splicing. Lineage: Eukaryota; Metazoa; Chordata; Mammalia; Rodentia; Octodontidae. The record is from Ensembl.
AUUGCCUAUUGGCUACCUAAGAUCAAGGGUAGCAUUUGUUCUUAUCAACUUAAUAUCUGAUGCGAUUUCUAGCUGAAGACAAUAUACUAAGUAGACUUUUGGAGCAGGGAGAUAUAAUAAGAGCUUGUUCUGUUCACUCCAUGCAUCAACCUAAUAUUAUAGUACCUCCAGAAAUGGUGCAUCCCAG